GCUGGGCAUGGCAGUGCAUGCCUGAAGUCCCAGCUACUCAGGAGGCUGAGGCAGGAAGAUCACUUGAGUCCAGGAGUUUGAAGCUGCAGUGAGCCAUGUUUUUGCCACUGCACUCCAGCCUGAACAACAGAGAGAGAUCCUGUCUCAA
This is an unclassified non-coding RNA of Callithrix jacchus (white-tufted-ear marmoset), 148 nucleotides long. It matches the Rfam family "Metazoan signal recognition particle RNA". From Rfam's summary of the family: The signal recognition particle (SRP) is a universally conserved ribonucleoprotein. The record is from Ensembl. NCBI's taxonomy places the organism in Eukaryota, Metazoa, Chordata, Mammalia, Primates, Cebidae.